UCCCCUUUAUCCUGUGACUUGGGUUACAGUUGGCCAAAAGAGGAACUUGCAUAAAUAUGGAAGGUGGAAAUGGAGAUGAAGCCAUAAUUCUCUGAAGGUCUUGUAGUCAGAUGUGGUGACAGAUGGACGCAUAAGUUCCCAGCAAGUUCCAGCUUGUCUUUGAUCUCCUCCACUCUGCCAUAGUUCUUCCUUGUAAAUGCUUACCCCACUGUUACAGAUGUGGUUUCUUGCCUGAAGGAACACAACGUAUGCUCUAGCAGCUAUUGAUAUGGCACAAGCUUUUUUCUCAAUGCCCAUUAAUGAAGACCACCAGAAACAGUUGUCUGAUUCAUCAGAUCCAGCGGUUGUUGGAGGGUCUUGAUAGAGGUCCACUGCAGAAAAGCAUUUGGCAAGCCUUUGUAGGUGGAUUGCAACACAGACCUUUUGAAACUUUGAAGCAAAAUUAUAUGGUCCUCUCUCAAUUACUGUUCUUUUGAGAUACAGCUUUGGGCUUAUUACUGGGCCCUAGUAGUGACUAAACUCCUUUGACUGCGGGCCACCAAGUUACCAGGCAAUCUGAGCUGCCCAUCACAAAGGGAGUAAUGUCUGACUCCAAAAACUAUAAUAUGGGGUGUGCACAAUAUCACUUCAUCAUCAAGUGGGAGAGAUAUGUAAAAGCAGGUCCUGAAGAUACAAGAAAUUGCAUCAGCAAGUGGCAUAAAUUGCCAUGAAACCCACUUUUGGUACAUGGCCUCUCGUCUCUUAACAUCACCUAUGGCCUAUGAUGUUCUUUAUGAUCAGUUGAUUGAGGAAGGAAAAAAAAAUAGGUCAAGUUUAAUGACAUUUCUACCAAAAAUACUGGCAGAAUUUGAAACUGGAUGCCUGCAGUGCUAUAACUCAACUCAGGUGUGUCUAUGAAGAACAGUGUUGAAGAGGAAUCUUCCCAGUGGGCAAAAUUCCAAGUAUUACACCUGGCUGGUUUAUAUGCCUGGAAGGAGAGAUGAACAAAGCUAUUGCUCUACAUUAAUUCAUGAGCAAUCUCUAACAAUUUGGACUUGGAAGGAAGAUGAUUGGAGAAUUUGGAGGCACUGGGUUCUGGAGAAGAGGUAUGAGGAGAGACCUCUUUGAAAGAGCACAGAAUUUGAUAUUUGUGUCCCAGGUGAAUGCUAACCAAGGAGCAACUUCACUGGAGAAAGAUCUUAAUCAGAUGGACAAGACAACCUCUUUUGAGGAUGUCAGCCAGCCUCUUUCCCCAGUCACUCCUGUCCUUGACCAAGGUACUCAUAAAUAAAAUGACCAUGGCUGCAGGAAUAGAGGCUGUCCGUGUUGCUAGUUUAAAAUCCAGUCUGGGAGUUCCUGCCAUGGCUCAGUGGAAACAAAUCCAACUAGGAACCAUGAGGUUGCGGGUUCGAUCCCUGGCCUUGCUCAGUGGGUUAAAGAUCUGGCAUUGCUCUGCCAGCCUACAACACAGCCACAGCAAUGUGGGAUGUAAGCUGCAUCUGCGACCUAUAGCACAGUUCAGGGCAACGCUUAACCCACUGAGUGAAGCCAGGGAUCAAACCCAUGUCCUCAUGGAUACUAGUCAAGUUCAUUACCACUGAGCCACAAUGGGAACUCCUCACUGAUGUUUUUAUUUGGUAAUUAUAUGUAGUUAAAGGAAUGUGUGUACAUACCAAGUUGACAAUGAAUGGACUAUGCUGGAUUGUGAUGUGUCAACUUGGAUAAUGUGAGAACUUCAUUUCCUAGAAUUCUAUUUUUUGUAUGAGUUGGUCAAGAGAGGAACUUGUCCUGGGUUUGUAAGGCUGAAUUGAAUACUUGUUAAGGGUUGUUAUGGUCAGAUGUGGUGAUAGAUAACAGAGGUGCCUAUCAUGUCCAUCUUGUCCUUUCCCAUUAGCAUUUAUAUAUGUUUUUCCAAUCUUUAAAUAUCUCUCUAUUAACUUCACGUCCCCUUCCAUGCUACCAUCUCUUCUUUCCUGCUGUGUCCUCAAUCCUCUGCUACCGGCCUCUGUCACAUCCUUCUCCUUAAAACUGUUCUUCUCUCUAUACUCUUUCCCCUCCUGGAUUUCUAUUACUAUUACAUGCUGAUGAUGUUUGAGAAUAUAUCUAUCCAGAUGUCUCUUGAGUUUCAUACCUGCAUAUCCAGUGACCUACUCAACACUGCCACCUGGAUGACAGAUAGGCACCUACAACUCAGUGUGUCCAUAACUAAAUGCAUCGUAUUUCCCCUCAAAACCAUACCUCCUUCAUAUCUCACUUAAUAGUACCAUCAUCUAUGCAGUUUCCCAAGCCAGAAACCUGUUCACUCACCUUAUUUAGUUUUCUUUUAUCUUUUUUUUUUUUAAUGGCUACGCCUGCAGCAUGCAGAAGUUCCCAGGCCAGGAAUCCAACUUGUGCCACAGAAGUGACAACACUGGAUCCUUAACCUGCUGAGCCACCAGGGAAGUCCAGGUUUCUUUUAUCUUUUGCCUGGAUUAUUACAACAGUCAUUAUUCCUAAAGUUGUGACAAUCCAAUUAAAAAAUACAACUGUAAUGCACCAUACAAACACUGUGGUUUAUCUUCACUAUAGAUCCAUAUUAACCUUGAGAAUGUGGGGUAGUAAAUCUCCAUCUUGUGGAAGAAGUUGCACCUAAGGUGAACAAAAGGAAAACAUGCUUUACAAUACUGGACAUUGUCAGUGUGUUAUAACUGGUGACAGUGCUAUUCAUUUCACAAGUAUUAUUAAUUUCCUACCAUGAGCUGGGAACCAUGCCUGUAGGAGAUGCUUUCAAGGCAUUGAUUUCCUGUGUACUUUUUUGGUAUCCUGCACUAUGUGACAUGUAUGAAAAAGCCUUGGUCUUUAUGCUUAAGGGGCUGUCAACUCUCUUUAGUCACUACUCAUGUCAAAUGAUAUCUCAGAUGGCCCCAUCUAAUACUGAGUUCCUCCCACAGGCAGUGCUGCAAUAAAGUUCCUUCCACGACCCAUUAUUCUCAAAGAAAAAAUUAAUUUCAGAGGACUUAUGUAGACAUAUGUAGGCUGUUGUCUAGAUGCAAGGAUUCUGUAAAAGCACCAAUUUAAAAAGCUCUAUAAAGAAGAUGGGGUACAUAUAUACAAUGGAAUAUUACUCACCCAUAAAAAAGAAGAAAAUAAUGCCUUUUCAGCAACAUGGAAGGACCUAGAGAUUUUCAUACUGAGUGGAGUAAGUCAGAGAAAGACAAAUAUCAUAUGAUAUAUGUGGAAUCUAAUAAAAUGAUACAAAAGAAUUUAUUUAUAAAACAUAAAGUCACAGAUUUUAAAACCAAUCUUAGGAUUAUCAUGGGUAAAACCAUUGGGGUAGGGUGGAAUUGGGAGGGUGGAAAUAACAAAUACACAGUAUUAUAUAAAACAGGUGAUUAACAGAAACCUACUGUGUAGUACAGGAAAAUCUACUCAAUAGUUUGUAAUAAUGUAUAUGGGAAAAAGAAUGGACAUGUAUACACACCCACAUAUCCAUUUGUAUUAUAAAGAUUCAUUUUGCUAUACAACUGAAACUAAUACAACAUUGUAAGGCAACUCUAUGCCAAAAAAAUUAAAUCAAAAGCCGUGUAUGAGGAUUCUUUUUUGGUGACACUUAGGGAUUACCUCCUUUGGACCUGAGUUAAACUGCAAAUAAUCAGUUUAACUCCAUAAUGAAUUCAGCUUUGUGCUCAGCCCAUUCCCAGAACCUCUGGAUGAAUUGUGAGAAGAAAACCUAUUUAUUCUGGGACAUCACCACUUUGGGAUAAAUUCCUGGAAGCCAUCAGAAAAGCAAAGGGAAGAUCUUUCUCAGAGUCUCUUCUCUGGAUUUCUGAGAAAGAAGUGUUUCAUGUUUGGCAUGUCAAGUUGCUUUUACUUUGAGUCCAUGGAUUGCCCCUUAUUCAAUUCUCUUUGAACCUAAUUCUCGCUGUCCAUCCAGAGGCCUAGGUCUCCUAUGGGAAGGUAAUUCAGCCUUUCUUGUGUCUUCCUCAGACAGCAGAUCUUUCUCUGAGCACAGUCUUCAUAUUAUCAGUUACAAAAUAAUUUAAAAAUGACACGUAUGUGUACUUUACAUUUCACAAAACUCUUUUCAUGUUUUUUAGUUCAUUUAAUCCUAAAUGCAGUGCAGAGAGGCAGAGCCAUGCGGAACCUGAGGCUCAGAGAAAAGUAACCUGUCUAAAAUCACAUAGCUGUUGGAUGACAGACCUCACAAAGAACCCAGACAUUCUAACUCACAUCUUUCAGCUCUUUCUCCCCAUAUUCAUCUAGUGGCCACAGCAAUUUCUAGUCCUGACCCAUUUUGAACAUAUUCUGAAAUCUGAAUAAAACUAUGUUCAUAUUAGGAGCCAAGGAACACUGAUGACUCUCCUGGGGACUAGUUUGAUUGUAGGAACACAGAAAGCCCCCCUAAGCGACAAUCCCCAGGACUUACCAAGAGCAAGGAAAUGUAGGCCUUCUCCUGAGGCAGUAGUUCUCAACUCUGGCUACAUAUUGAAAACACCUGGGGAGAUUUAAACACCAUAGAAGCCUGGGUUCUAGAUUUAAUUUAUAUUGAAUUGGUCUUAGGGGCAGCUAGGCCAUUAGAUAGUUGAAAUACUCCCCAGAUGAUACUAAUAUGCAGCCAAGAUUGAGAAACAUCGCCUGAGGGCUACCACAUGUUUGCCUAUUCCUUGAAGGACCUGUGUUCUUCUCUCUUUCUCUCUGCAAAUGCUUAUUACACCAAUCAUAUAUGAUUGGUGAAUAAAAUCUAGAAAAUACAAGAAGCAGGAUUAAGAUGGCAGAGUAGGAGUGCCCUGCAUUCACCUCCCUACAACGAACCCAUCAAACCUACAACUACAUGUACUCUGAGGACGAUGUGAAGACUAGCAGAAGGACUCUUCUGCACCCAAGGCUGUAAAGAAAGAACUGCACAGAGUCUGGUAGAAAGGGAGGAGAGGCAAUCUAGUUAGGACCUGCACCCCUAGUGGGAUACCUAGAAGAGGAGGGGCAUAUCACAGGCUUGGGGAUCCUCCAUAAGGAAUGGGGUUUGAGCCCCAUAUUAGGCAUUCCAGCCCUGGGGUUUGAUCCUGGGAAGAUGAGCCCUUUAGCUGGUUUGAAAACCCAUGGGAUUUAGGGGAGGGCUGUAAAAAACCAAAACUGCGCCUGAAGAGCACAUGCACUGACUUGCUCUCAGAUCCAGAUUGGAAGCAGCAGGUUGAAAAUUGCCCGGUGCUCUGGGGCUCUGCCAGGAUCACCCAAGCCUGCCCCCCACCCCCCCAUGGCUGACUCCUGCUCCAGCACCUCCUGCUCUACUGCUGCUCCCUGCUAAGGCUGAGGCCACCUUUGCCAAUGAAUGUGCUUGUGCUUGGAGGGAGCUGAACCCUUGGUGUGGCCCUGCCUCUAGUCAGGCUGGGACCACCACUGCUGGCAUGUGCUCACACCGGGGAAGGAGCAGAAUCAGUUCAACAGCAUAGCCCCAGCCACUUUAACCUUGCUCUCACCAAGGCACACACAUUGGAGAAAAAGUGAAACCAGCUCAGAAGAGCAGCCCCAAGCCCUUGGGCCCUGGUAGUGUUCCCAAACAAGGUGGAGACUGCCAUCACACUGGGGAGAAGCCUGAUUCCCUCAGCGCUCCUGCUCCAACCCCUCAGGCACUGGUUCCAUCUCAGUUGGAGGGUGGUGACUGCCAUUGAGCCUAGGAGAAACUCCAGUUUGCACAUGGCUCUGGAUCUAGUCUCAUUGACUCUAGCUCUACCUACCACCAAGGUGGUGGCUGGCAGUACACCGUGGGGAAGACAUGACCCAUGCUUGCUUCAGAUCCAGCUCUCCCACUAAUGUCACUGGAUACAUGCAGACUGCAUGUGGACACUCUCAUGCAAGCACAUGCCUCCCAGACCAGGAUAGGUAACUGUUUCACCUAAUUUCAUAGAGACAAACAGAGAAAGGUAAACAAAAUAAGAAAACUGAGGAUUAUGUUUCAAACAAAAGACCAAGAUAAAACUCUUGGAAAAAAAUCCUAAUGAAACAGAGACAAAUAAUUUACCUGAUAAAGGGUUCAAAGCAAUAGUAGUGAGAAUGCUAAUGGUACUUGGGAAAAGAAUAGAUGAACACAUGAGAGCUUCAAUAAAGCACUAGAAAAUAUAAAAAAGAACCAGUCAAAGGCUGAAGAAUAUAUAACUGAAAUGAAAAAUAUGCUAGGAGGAAUUAACAACAGAUCAGGUAAUAACAGAAGAAUGUACAAGGGGUCUGGAGACAGAAUAGUGAAAAUCAUCCAGUUGGAACAGCAAAAAGAAAAACACUUUUUUUUUUUUAAAUUUUUUUGCCUUUUUGUCUUUUGUUGUUGUUGUUGUUGUUGUUGUUGCUGUUUCUCGGGCCGCGCCCGCGGCAUAUGGAGGUUCCCAGGCUAGGGGUUGAAUCGGAGCUGUAGCCACCGGCCUACGCCAGAGCCACAGCAACGCAGGAUCUGAGCCACGUCUGCAACCUACACCACAGCUCACGGCAACGCCGGAUCGUCAACCCACUGAGCAAGGGCAGGGACCGAACCCGCAACCUCAUGGUUCCUAGUCGGAUUCGUUAACCACUGUGCCACGACGGGAACUCCAGAAAAACACUUUUAAAAAAAUGAAAAAA
Molecule: long non-coding RNA, 6561 nt
Filed under: Sus scrofa (pig)
Lineage: Eukaryota; Metazoa; Chordata; Mammalia; Artiodactyla; Suidae
Description: lncRNA (ENSSSCG00065057089.1)
Source: RNAcentral